RNAcentral lists this transfer RNA (72 nucleotides) under Heterocephalus glaber (naked mole-rat). It matches the Rfam family "tRNA". Rfam says of the family: Transfer RNA (tRNA) molecules are approximately 80 nucleotides in length. Their secondary structure includes four short double-helical elements and three loops (D, anti-codon, and T loops). Lineage: Eukaryota; Metazoa; Chordata; Mammalia; Rodentia; Bathyergidae. The record is from Rfam by way of RNAcentral.
GGGAGUAUAGCUCAGUGGUAGAGCACAUGCUUAGCAUGCAUGAGGGCUUGGAAUCAAUAUAUAGCAUCUCCU